CUUGGGUGGGACUAUUCUAAGAAAGAAAGCAGUCUGGCCUGGCCAGUUAUUUCUGCCGCCUGUGCUGGGGAGCUCUAUGAUCUCUUCAGUUGCAACUCAAAGGAUUUCCCAACGAAGAUGUAGCGCACAGCAGAUCGAGGUGGCUGCGCCUGGCCAGGCGGACUCUCACCUGGUCCCCAGUCUCUGCGGGCCCUACAAGCCCCGGGUCCUGGGGUGGGUCAGCCUCGGUGGAUGAGAGCCAGAAGAACAACUCCAGUUCUGUGCCCCUGCCGUGGGCUCUAGCGUGAGCAAUGCAGGGCAGAGCACAAGGUAUGUGACGUUAACAAGCGCAACUGUCUUACAGCCUGGCAGCAUCCCGAGGAGUUUCUGCUACAAUCUCCAAGAGAUAAAGGAGCACAAAAUGUAGCAGCCUCAACAAGUUCUGUGGCAGCAGAGACCCCCGAGGGUCCUUUCCUCAGUAACAUUGCCUCCGCACCCGCUGCCAGAUCAGCCACUCUCC
Molecule: long non-coding RNA, 499 nt
Filed under: Chinchilla lanigera (long-tailed chinchilla)
Lineage: Eukaryota; Metazoa; Chordata; Mammalia; Rodentia; Chinchillidae
Description: lncRNA (ENSCLAG00000029277.1)
Source: RNAcentral